CCCUUAGAUGUUCUGGGCCGCACGCGCGCUACACUGAUGCAUUCAACGAGCCUAUCCUUGACCGACAGGUCCGGGUAAUCUUUGAAUCUGCAUCGUGACGGGGAUAGAUUAUUGCAAUUAUUAAUCUUAAACGAGGAAUUCCUAGUAAGCGCGAGUCAUCAGCUCGCGCUGAUUACGUCCCUGCCCUUUGUACACACCGCCCGUCGCUACUACCGAUUGAAUGGUUUAGUGAGGCCUUCUGACUGGCGCCGCUACUCUGGCAACAGAGCGGCGGAUGCCGGGAAGUUGGUCAAACUUGAUCAUUUAGAGGAAGUAAAAGUCGUAACA
RNAcentral lists this ribosomal RNA (327 nucleotides) under uncultured eukaryote. Its description in RNAcentral is "partial 18S ribosomal RNA". It matches the Rfam family "Eukaryotic small subunit ribosomal RNA", at positions 1470 to 1796 of the family's 1831-position model. The record is from RNAcentral.